Long non-coding RNA from Bombus huntii, 2106 nucleotides. RefSeq lists it as uncharacterized. The record is from RefSeq and is a predicted model, not a curated record. NCBI's taxonomy places the organism in Eukaryota, Metazoa, Arthropoda, Insecta, Hymenoptera, Apidae. The transcript is spliced from 7 exons.
GUAAUUAAGUUACAGAGUUACUACAAACUAUACGGUAUCUGAAGACACGUCAAUUCGAAUUAACAUCAAAUCGACGUCUUAAACAUUAAAAAUAAUAGAUAAACACAAUUUAAUAGUUUUGCCCACUUCUCACACCUCGUUAUGGUAUUUAAUCUAAUUUCCUUCUAAUCUUAGUUUUGCUCAAAAUACAUAUAACAUGUACGUUAUAAAUUGGAGUAUUUCAAUACACAAAUCAAUAGAAGAUUAUUACUGUAUAUAAGUAUAAUUUCAAUACAAUUCGAUCGAUAUAUUUCAGUAUCUUUGAUUAAAAAUUUAACGAUCCUUUCAGGCUGACCGCGGCGGACCACUGCUGAUACAACAUGAAUUAACCUCGUAUUUAAUAGGUAUUGUGUCUUAUGCUUAUAAGUGCGGCACAGCUGGGUAUCCCAGCGUUUACACUAGGGUCACAUCGUACCUUGACUUCAUUCUCCAAGCGAUGCAAUAAUACGAUAUUACUGUUCCAUAAAUAUCAUUGUGUAAAAAACGUAAAGUUGGAUUUUCUUAUUGUGGAGAUAAGAAACAGCUCAAAUUUACAUUGUUUUGUACGUUACAAAUUAUAGGCUUAAAAUGUACGAAAUGUAACUUUGAAACGACACUAAUUUUUUACGCACGAUAAACCUCCACGACUUAGAUUAUAGAUUCCUAUACGACUCUCAGUAAAAAUUUAUCCGCACUCCAGAUAGUUAAAACUUCUGUCGACCGUAUUGAUCCAUCUGCACUCUUCGUAUGACGUCAAUAUCUGUUCAGUGCUGCUGCGCAGGUUUCUUUGUGUUACGUCAAUUCGUUUGUGACCGUUGCGCGAGUAAUGGCGCUUUGCAAUGGUGAUUUGCAGGAAAACAGUGCAGGAUGCUGUGAUUCGUUUCUUGUGGUCGGAGGUUAUGUUUGAUGCCUAUAUUUAUCAAAGAUUUAAUGCACAUUAUGGAGAAAGUGUUUUGUCACGAAGUGUGUUUGAAUGGGCACAAAAGUUCAAAGAAGAUCGCACAAGUGUUAUGAAAAAACAGCUGGACGCCCGUCCACAUCCACGAUGACAACAUUGAACGUGCUCAUGAACUUAUGCUCUAUGGAAUAGACGAGUGACACUGGAUAAUGUGGCAAAUCAUUUGCAAAUCAGCCACGGCUCUGCUUAUGCAAUAGUGCACGACAGAUUUGGAUUUUAAAAAGUUUGUGCGAGAUGGAUGCCGAAAAAGCUGAUGAAAAGGUGAAGACAACGAUGCAUUCGUGGUUCGCAGCUCAGCCCAAAACAUUUUUUAAUGAGAAAAUACAAAGGUCCUUCGGCAAAUGGACAAAGUGUAUACAGAAAUCGAGUGAUUAUGUCAAAAAAUGAUGUAUGUCUUUUUUGACAAUUGCUUAAAAUAAAUUCUACACCGACAGAGCGGGCUGUUAAUCUAGAGGCUGGAGUACAAAGAAGUGGCACAAUGAUGUGGGCUGAUGACAUUUAUAAUUAUCAAGGAAUCACCCCUACAUUCGCUCAGAAUUUUAAUGAAACUGUCCCUUGGGAAGGAAGAACUGAUACCUUGAUAUCACGGAUAUUUAUGUUUAGUAACCAGUAAUUCAGAGAUUGGUAUUCAUGGUUACUAUAACGAGGCUGUAGAAACGCACCCUUUCUUCUUUGCAAAUGGUCCUGUAUUUAUGUCUAAGCCGAAACUGGAACCUCUGAAUAAUUUAGAUUUAUUCUUGUUAUUUUCUAAAAUACUUAUCUACAGUAUACCAUAAGGAAUGAUACCGUAUCACACCUAAUCAAGUGCCUUAAGAAACAUCAACAGGAUAUCACAGUAAUCCCUUAUCGACUGAUAUUUGUAGCCACUACAAUAUCUAUGACACUGGUAGUAAUUAUAAGAACAAUAAUGAUAUUCUAUAAGAGGAAAUGAUGAUUAGGAACAAAAACUUACAGGAGAUAUCAUGCGGUGGAUGGAUAAUAUGUAAAAAAUAUUAAGCAGUAUAUGAAUUUUCAUAUUGCGUAGAGAUAACAAAAUGAAUUUUAAAAAAUGUCGACAUGGUAAUAAGAAAUAGCAUCAUGACAAAGAAUAUAUAAACACAGUUUCAUUUUUUAUAAAUAAAAAUUUGUUG